UACGGAGGGGGCAAGCGUUAUUCGGAAUUACUGGGCGUAAAGCGUGCGCAGGCGGUUUUGUAAGCCAGAUGUGAAAUCCCCGGGCUUAACCUGGGAAUGGCAUUUGGGACUGCAAGGCUCGAGUGCGGCAGAGGAGACUGGAAUUCCUGGUGUAGCAGUGAAAUGCGUAGAUAUCAGGAGGAACACCGAUGGCGAAGGCAGGUCUCUGGGCUGACACUGACGCUCAUGCACGAAAGCGUGGGGAGCAAACAGG
RNAcentral lists this ribosomal RNA (253 nucleotides) under uncultured bacterium. RNAcentral's name for it is "partial 16S ribosomal RNA". It matches the Rfam family "Bacterial small subunit ribosomal RNA", at positions 524 to 776 of the family's 1533-position model. The record is from RNAcentral.